AGCAAUUCUCUGUGUUGUGUUGUU
Molecule: non-coding RNA, 24 nt
Filed under: Arabidopsis thaliana (thale cress)
Lineage: Eukaryota; Viridiplantae; Streptophyta; Magnoliopsida; Brassicales; Brassicaceae
Source: RNAcentral